RNAcentral lists this ribosomal RNA (460 nucleotides) under uncultured ammonia-oxidizing beta proteobacterium. RNAcentral's name for it is "bacterial SSU rRNA". It matches the Rfam family "Bacterial small subunit ribosomal RNA", at positions 202 to 645 of the family's 1533-position model. Lineage: Bacteria; Pseudomonadati; Pseudomonadota; Betaproteobacteria. The record is from RNAcentral.
AAGCAGGGGAUCGUAAGACCUUGCGCUUUUGGAGUGGCCGAUGCCUGAUUAGCUAGUUGGUGGGGUAAGGGCCUACCAAGGCGACGAUCAGUAGUUGGUCUGAGAGGACGACCAGCCACACUGGGACUGAGACACGGCCCAGACUCCUACGGGAGGCAGCAGUGGGGAAUUUUGGACAAUGGGCGAAAGCCUGAUCCAGCAAUGCCGCGUGAGUGAAGAAGGCCUUCGGGUUGUAAAGCUCUUUCAGUCGAGAAGAAAAGGUCGCGACUAAUAAUCGCGACUCAUGACGGUAUCGACAGAAGAAGCACCGGCUAACUACGUGCCAGCAGCCGCGGUAAUACGUAGGGUGCGAGCGUUAAUCGGAAUUACUGGGCGUAAAGGGUGCGCAGGUGGCUUUGUAAGUCAGAUGUGAAAUCCCCGGGCUUAACCUGGGAAUUGCGUUUGAAACUACAAAGCUUAG